Molecule: ribosomal RNA, 48 nt
Filed under: Macowanites sp.
Lineage: Eukaryota; Fungi; Basidiomycota; Agaricomycetes; Russulales; Russulaceae
Description: partial 28S ribosomal RNA
Source: RNAcentral
UGACCUCAAAUCGGGUGAGACUACCCGCUGAACUUAAGCAUAUCAAAA